Podarcis raffonei (Aeolian wall lizard) is the source of this 845-nucleotide long non-coding RNA. RefSeq lists it as uncharacterized. The record is from RefSeq and is a predicted model, not a curated record. The transcript has 2 exons. NCBI's taxonomy places the organism in Eukaryota, Metazoa, Chordata, Lepidosauria, Squamata, Lacertidae.
CCACUGAAGCCUUCACUAAGCAACUGAAGACAGGGGGAAAGAGUGGGUUGCCCCCAAACUAAAAAAAAGCUAAUACAGUUGGUAAAACGUCACCCAUAUCGGAACUGUUGGUUUUUGCAAAACAACAACAACUCAACAACUUUUGUGUCCGGAUUUUCACUUUGUGAAAUACGGCAACCCUAUACCAAAUGCAACCUAUUAUUGCAUGGGGGCUGGAAUGGACCGUCAUUUCCUAAGACAAGUACUUGAUGAAGAUAUGGAACAGAGUCCUUGGGUGUGUUUUUAGCCUCCUAUUUCCACUAAUCCUUGGAAUCCUACAAAAAAUAUCAGCAUAACACAGUUUCAUCAACAGAGCCCCACAUUGUUACCAUCAGCUUUUGCUUGUUAGAUUUCUCCACUUGGCAGAACAUUUUGAGGGCCUACCAGUGACAAUGAGCCCCCUAUCCCAAUGUAAGGGCCAAGUCCUCUAUUACUAUGUCCACAUGUUGACUCUAACUGCAUGGCAAAUCUAACUCUAACUCAAAAGAAAGCCAAGAAGUCCUUCUGGGUGUAAGAAAACCUUUUAACCAAAAGGGAAAUAUACUUCAGGAAGUUUAUUUUUUUUGCUCAACACCAUCGUUUUGACCCUAUUUCAAGUUCUAUGCACAUUGUUUUGCACCAUGCUCUGCACUUGAAACAUGUACGCCUCACCCCUGCAAGUCCAUAUGACAUUAUUUCAACUCUUCACCCUCCUGUUGACAAAUCAUUCAUUUAAAGGCUUCGGUAAUCUGAACUCACUAAUUUGUUUAGUGAUGUCACCGAAGUUCAUGCUUAUCGGGCUCAUAAUACAGUUUUGUUCCGUUAAA